RNAcentral lists this ribosomal RNA (253 nucleotides) under uncultured bacterium. Its description in RNAcentral is "partial 16S ribosomal RNA". It matches the Rfam family "Bacterial small subunit ribosomal RNA", at positions 524 to 776 of the family's 1533-position model. The record is from RNAcentral.
UACGGAGGGUGCAAGCGUUAUCCGGAUUCACUGGGUUUAAAGGGUGCGUAGGUGGGUUGAUAAGUCAGUGGUGAAAUCCCCGAGCUUAACUUGGGAACUGCCAUUGAUACUAUUGAUCUUGAAUACCGUGGAGGUCAGCGGAAUAUGUCAUGUAGCGGUGAAAUGCUUAGAUAUGACAUAGAACACCAAUUGCGAAGGCAGCUCGUUACACGAAGAUUGACUCUGAGGCACGAAAGCGUGGGGAUCAAACAGG